UACGUAGGUGGCAAGCGUUGUCCGGAUUUACUGGGCGUAAAGGGCGUGCAGGCGGCUUGUUAAGUGCAGGGUGAAAGCUCCCGGCUCAACUGGGAGAGGUCCUUGCAUACUGGCGAGCUCGAGGGAGGCAGAGGAAAGUGGAAUUCCCGGUGUAGUGGUGAUAUGCGUAGAUAUCGGGAGGAACACCUGUGGCGAAGGCGGCUUUCUGGGCCUUACCUGACGCUGAGACGCGAAAGCGUGGGGAGCGAACCGG
This 253-nucleotide ribosomal RNA is filed under the name uncultured bacterium. Its description in RNAcentral is "partial 16S ribosomal RNA". It matches the Rfam family "Bacterial small subunit ribosomal RNA", at positions 524 to 776 of the family's 1533-position model. The record is from RNAcentral.